RNAcentral lists this long non-coding RNA (906 nucleotides) under Homo sapiens (human). RNAcentral describes it as "non-protein coding lnc-FIG4-1:2". Lineage: Eukaryota; Metazoa; Chordata; Mammalia; Primates; Hominidae. The record is from RNAcentral.
UCUAAUGGGAGAAGGAAAACUGGUUAGCCAAAAUGACCUGUGAGCUAUCACCAACCCUGACAUGCUGGGAUUCUAUGGAAGGUUUUAUAUUGCAAAGAAAGGUUAAGUCCCCAUUUGACAGAUAUUUUUGAUUGAUGCCAUCAUGAAGUAAAGAUUAGAGAAUGACAAAAUAAUAGUUAGAAUCCAAAUAGACUUUAUUCUUCACUUACAUGUGAAUAAAUUAGAUGCCACUUGAAAAUGAGAUUCCAACUUUAGUCGAAAAUUGUCCUGUAUCUUAUUAUAUGUUUCACAGUAAAGCUUUUUUUCUCCAACUCACUGAGUUUUCUUCUUCCUAGAAUUUACCAGAUGCUGAAUCAGAAGUAUUUUCUCCUUUUGGAAAGUAAUGUGCCUCACGAUUGCCUCCACACGUGCCUUCGAGGUUAGCUGGUCAGAAUGAGAUUGCUUAGAGUGGCCAGAGAAGGCAAAGAUGUUCUUAUGUCCUGAAUAUGCUUUUUCUUGAAAUCAUGUUUUGCUCUUUUAAAAUCAGUUUAAAGAUACAUUCUCUUUUUCUGGUUUGGCCCCCUAGCAUUUUUUAUAUGUUCUGUUGAGAUAAGUAUUGCUUAAAUGAAUCGUUUAUUGAAGGAAAAAUGAUCUGUUUUCCUUAUUUCAAGACUUAUCACCCUCCCUUUGGAAGAGACAAUGGAUUAUUUCAGAAACUGCAUGGUUCUGAGGUGCUCCUAGCAUAGGUCAGUUUUUUCUAUCUGCACUUGAGCAGCUUUCUUUAACAGAAUUUUGAGUCUCCCUUUUCCGUUUCAGAAGUUGAGGGUCAUUUGCUAAUAGAGAAUAGUAAGCUGUCAUUUCACUCUUGCUACCCAUACACAGAAUUUUUUUGGGUUCAUUUCUUCAGUACAUUCAAGGAAACACCAA